Molecule: ribosomal RNA, 292 nt
Filed under: uncultured bacterium
Lineage: Bacteria
Description: partial 16S ribosomal RNA
Source: RNAcentral
GGACUACCGGGGUAUCUAAUCCUGUUUGCUCCCCACGCUUUCGCACCUCAGCGUCAGUAUUGGCCCAGGUCGCCGCCUUCGCCACUGGUGUUCCUCCCGAUAUCUACGAAUUUCACCUCUACACCGGGAAUUCCGCGACCCUCUUCCAUACUCAAGCGCGCCAGUUUCGUAUGCACUUCCUGGGUUGAGCCCAGGGCUUUCACAUCCGACUUAACGCGCCGCCUACGUGCGCUUUACGCCCAAUGAUUCCGAGCAACGUUUGCACCCUCUGUAUUACCGCGGCUGCUGGCAC